CCUACGGGAGGCUGCAGUGAGGAAUAUUGGUCAAUGGGCGUAAGCCUGAACCAGCCAAGUCGCGUGAGGGAUGAAGGUUCUAUGGAUCGUAAACCUCUUUUAUAAGGGAAUAAAGUGUGGGACGUGUCCUGUUUUGUAUGUACCUUAUGAAUAAGGAUCGGCUAACUCCGUGCCAGCAGCCGCGGUAAUACGGAGGAUCCGAGCGUUAUCCGGAUUUAUUGGGUUUAAAGGGUGCGUAGGCGGCCUUUUAAGUCAGCGGUGAAAGUCUGUGGCUCAACCAUAGAAUUGCCGUUGAAACUGGGAGGGGGGAGGAGGUUUGAGGCAGGCGGGAGGCGUGGGGUAGCGGUG
This 348-nucleotide ribosomal RNA is filed under the name uncultured bacterium. Its description in RNAcentral is "partial 16S ribosomal RNA". It matches the Rfam family "Bacterial small subunit ribosomal RNA", at positions 338 to 683 of the family's 1533-position model. The record is from RNAcentral.